GAUGAACGCUGGCGGCGUGCUUAACACAUGCAAGUCGAACGAAGCACUUUAUUUGAUUUCCUUCGGGACUGAUUAUUUUGUGACUGAGUGGCGGACGGGUGAGUAACGCGUGGGUAACCUGCCUUGUACAGGGGGAUAACAGUUGGAAACGGCUGCUAAUACCGCAUAAGCGCACAGCAUCGCAUGAUGCAGUGUGAAAAACUCCGGUGGUAUAAGAUGGACCCGCGUUGGAUUAGCUAGUGGGUGAGGUAACGGCCCACCAAGGCGACGAUCCAUAGCCGAGCUGAGAGGGUGCCCGGCCACAUUGGAACUGAGACACGGCCCAAACUCGUACGGGAGGGAGCAGUGGGGAAUAUUGCACAAUGGGCGCAAGCCUGAUGCAGCGACGCCGCGUGAGCGAAGAAGUAUUUCGGUAUGUAAAGCUCUAUCAGCAGGGAAGAUAAUGACGGUACCUGACUAAGAAGCACCGGCUAACUACGUG
Molecule: ribosomal RNA, 481 nt
Filed under: uncultured bacterium
Lineage: Bacteria
Description: partial 16S ribosomal RNA
Rfam family: Bacterial small subunit ribosomal RNA
Source: RNAcentral